Molecule: ribosomal RNA, 1357 nt
Filed under: uncultured bacterium
Lineage: Bacteria
Description: bacterial SSU rRNA
Rfam family: Bacterial small subunit ribosomal RNA
Source: RNAcentral
GAUGAACGCUAGCUACAGGCUUAACACAUGCAAGUCGAGGGGCAGCAUCAUCAAAGCUUGCUUUGAUGGAUGGCGACCGGCGCACGGGUGAGUAACACGUAUCCAACCUGCCGACAACACUGGGAUAGCCUUUCGAAAGAAAGAUUAAUACCGGAUGGCAUAGUUUUCCCGCAUGGGAUAAUUAUUAAAGAAUUUCGGUUGUCGAUGGGGAUGCGUUCCAUUAGGCAGUUGGCGGGGUAACGGCCCACCAAACCAACGAUGGAUAGGGGUUCUGAGAGGAAGGUCCCCCACAUUGGAACUGAGACACGGUCCAAACUCCUACGGGAGGCAGCAGUGAGGAAUAUUGGUCAAUGGACGAGAGUCUGAACCAGCCAAGUAGCGUGAAGGAUGACUGCCCUAUGGGUUGUAAACUUCUUUUAUACGGGAAUAAAGUGAGCCACGUGUGGCUUUUUGUAUGUACCGUAUGAAUAAGGAUCGGCUAACUCCGUGCCAGCAGCCGCGGUAAUACGGAGGAUCCGAGCGUUAUCCGGAUUUAUUGGGUUUAAAGGGAGCGUAGGCGGGUUGUUAAGUCAGUUGUGAAAGUUUGCGGCUCAACCGUAAAAUUGCAGUUGAUACUGGCGACCUUGAGUGCAACAGAGGUAGGCGGAAUUCGUGGUGUAGCGGUGAAAUGCUUAGAUAUCACGAAGAACUCCGAUUGCGAAGGCAGCUUACUGGAUUGUAACUGACGCUGAUGCUCGAAAGUGUGGGUAUCAAACAGGAUUAGAUACCCUGGUAGUCCACACAGUAAACGAUGAAUACUCGCUGUUGGCGAUAUACAGUCAGCGGCCAAGCGAAAGCAUUAAGUAUUCCACCUGGGGAGUACGCCGGCAACGGUGAAACUCAAAGGAAUUGACGGGGGCCCGCACAAGCGGAGGAACAUGUGGUUUAAUUCGAUGAUACGCGAGGAACCUUACCCGGGCUUAAAUUGCAACUGACUGAACCGGAAACGGUUCUUUCUUCGGACAGUUGUGAAGGUGCUGCAUGGUUGUCGUCAGCUCGUGCCGUGAGGUGUCGGCUUAAGUGCCAUAACGAGCGCAACCCUUACGGGUAGUUACCAUCAGGUUAUGCUGGGGACUCUACCCGGACUGCCGUCGUAAGAUGUGAGGAAGGUGGGGAUGACGUCAAAUCAGCACGGCCCUUACGUCCGGGGCUACACACGUGUUACAAUGGGGGGUACAGAAGGCAGCUACACGGCGACGUGGUGCUAAUCCCAAAAGCCUCUCUCAGUUCGGAUUGGAGUCUGCAACCCGACUCCAUGAAGCUGGAUUCGCUAGUAAUCGCGCAUCAGCCACGGCGCGGUGAAUACGUUCCCGGGCCU